Molecule: long non-coding RNA, 222 nt
Filed under: Carica papaya (papaya)
Lineage: Eukaryota; Viridiplantae; Streptophyta; Magnoliopsida; Brassicales; Caricaceae
Description: long non-coding RNA (CPAP_LNC001104)
Source: RNAcentral
UCGUUGAUUGCGCUGGUGCUGAGCACUGUGCACGCGCUCAUGUGCACAAAGUGGCCAUAGGACGUGCGCAUAGCAUGCACGUCCCUUUUGCACACACGACGCAGGGUCAGGACCUGCGCACGCGUCCUGUUGUGCGCAGGCGGGCCGUCCUUACGUCACCUCAUACGUAGACAAGCGCUGCACAUUGUGCGUGCGCCAUCCGUGCAGCAGGCCUACGCGGAU